This 784-nucleotide ribosomal RNA is filed under the name uncultured bacterium. Its description in RNAcentral is "bacterial SSU rRNA". It matches the Rfam family "Bacterial small subunit ribosomal RNA", at positions 708 to 1504 of the family's 1533-position model. The record is from RNAcentral.
AAUUGCGAAGGCAGCUUUCUGGAUCAUUACUGACACUGAGGAACGAAAGCAUGGGUAGCGAAGAGGAUUAGAUACCCUCGUAGUCCAUGCCGUAAACGAUGUGUGUUAGACGUUGGAAAUUUAUUUUCAGUGUCGCAGGGAAACCGAUAAACACACCGCCUGGGGAGUACGACCGCAAGGUUAAAACUCAAAUGAAUUGACGGGGACCCGCACAAGUAGUGGAGCAUGUGGUUUAAUUCGAAGAUACGCGCAGAACCUUACCAACACUUGACAUGUUCGUCGCGACUCUAAGAGAUUAGAGUUUUCGGUUCGGCCGGACGAAACACAGGUGCUGCAUGGCUGUCGUCAGCUCGUGUCGUGAGAUGUUGGGUUAAGUCCCGCAACGAGCGCAACCCUCACUUUUAGUUGCCAUCAUUAAGUUGGGCACUCUGAAAGAACUGCUAGUGAUAAGCUGGAGGAAGGUGGGGAUGACGUCAAGUCCUCAUGGCCCUUACGUGUUGGGCUACACACGUGCUACAAUGGUAUCUACAACAGGAAGCAAAACGGCAACGUUAAGCAAAUCCCGAAAAGAUACCUCAGUUCGGAUUGCACUCUGCAACUCGAGUGCAUGAAGCUGGAAUUACUAGUAAUCGCGUAUCAGCAAUGACGCGGUGAAUACGUUCCCGGGCCUUGUACACACCGCCCGUCAAGCCAUGGAAUCUGGGAGUGCCUGAAGUCGGUAACCGCAAGGAGCCGCCUAGGGUAAAACUGGUAACUAGGGCUAAGUCGUAACAAGGUAACCGUA